This 497-nucleotide ribosomal RNA is filed under the name uncultured bacterium. RNAcentral's name for it is "partial 16S ribosomal RNA". It matches the Rfam family "Bacterial small subunit ribosomal RNA", at positions 28 to 507 of the family's 1533-position model. The record is from RNAcentral.
GAUGAACGCUGGCGGCGUGCCUAAUACAUGCAAGUCGAGCGAACAGACGAGGAGCUUGCUCCCCUGACGUUAGCGGCGGACGGGCGAGUAACACGUGGAUAACCAACCUAUAAGACGGGGGUAACUUCGGGAAACCGGAGCUAAUAACGGAGAAUAUAUUGAACCGCAGGGUUCAAUAGUGAAAGGCGGUUUUGCUGUCACUUAUAGAUGGAUCCGCGCCGCAUUAGCUAGUUGGUAAGGUAACGGCCUACCAAGGCAACGAUGCGUAGCCGACCUGAGAGGAUGAUCAGCCACACUGGAACUGAGACACGGUCCAGACUCCUACGGGAGGCAGCAGUAGGGAAUCUUCCGCAAUGGGCGAAAGCCUGAUGCAGCCAUGCCGCGUGAGUGAUGAAGGUCUUCGGAUCGUAAAGCUCUUUUAUUAGGGAAGAACAACUGUGUGAGUAACUAUGCACGUCUUGACGGUACCUAAUCAGAAAGCCCCGGCUAACUACGUG